CACCGCCUGGGGAGUACGACCGCAAGGUUAAAACUCAAAUGAAUUGACGGGGACCCGCACAAGUAGUGGAGCAUGUGGUUUAAUUCGAAGAUACGCGCAGAACCUUACCAACACUUGACAUGUUUGUCGCGACUCUAAGAAAUUGGAGUCUUCGGUUCGGCCGGACAAAACACAGGUGCUGCAUGGCUGUCGUCAGCUCGUGUCGUGAGAUGUUGGGUUAAGUCCCGCAACGAGCGCAACCCUCACUUUUAGUUGCCAUCAUUAAGUUGGGCACUCUAGAAGAACUGCCAGUGAUAAGCUGGAGGAAGGUGGGGAUGACGUCAAGUCCUCAUGGCCCUUACGUGUUGGGCUACACACGUGCUACAAUGGCACUUACAAUAGGAAGCAAAGAGGCAACUCUAAGCAAAGCCUGAAAAUGUGCCUCAGUUCGGAUUGUACUCUGCAACUCGAGUACAUGAAGCUGGAAUUACUAGUAAUCGCGGAUCAGCGCGCCGCGGUGAAUACGUUCCCGGGUCUUGUACACACCGCCCGUCACACCAUGGAAGUUGGUUUCACCUUAAGGCAGAUUGUUAACCUUCGGGAUACAUUUGACUACGGUAUGAUCAACAACUGGGGUGAAGUCGUAACAAGGUAGCCGUAGGGGAACCUGCGGCUGGAUCACCUCCUUUCUAAGGAAAUCGAAAUGGUUUAUUUCGAUUUAAAAUAAUCGGUAAUGUGACCGUCCUCAUUUCUCUUCUUUUCUUUUAAUGUCUCUGUAGAUGCAUAGGGGCCGGUAGCUCAGGUGGUUAGAGCGCACCCCUGAUAAGGGUGAGGUCGGACGUUCGAGUCGUCCUCGGCCCACCAUUUUAUACAAGGGGGAUUAGCCCAGCUGGGAGAGCGCCUGAUUUGCAUUCAGGAGGUCAGCGGUUCGAUCCCGCUAUCCUCCACCAAAACUUUGACAUUUAGUUCUUUUAAAUCGUGAAUUAUUAUCAAUAUCUAUAUCCGAUUAUUUUUUGAAAAUUUUUUUGAAAAGUAAUUGAUUAUAAAAAUUUAAUUUACACAGAAUUUUUUUCUG
RNAcentral lists this small RNA (1054 nucleotides) under uncultured Pelagibacterales bacterium. RNAcentral's name for it is "bacterial SSU rRNA". The stretch from base 1 to 668 matches the Rfam family "Bacterial small subunit ribosomal RNA", at positions 867 to 1533 of the family's 1533-position model. Lineage: Bacteria; Pseudomonadati; Pseudomonadota; Alphaproteobacteria; Candidatus Pelagibacterales. The record is from RNAcentral.